UCCUCGCCAGCGGAUCUGGCACGAGGUUUCCGAAGCCACGUUGCGCAAGUUCAACUCUUGCCGGGGACGCG
Molecule: transfer RNA, 71 nt
Filed under: Mycobacterium phage Rizal
Lineage: Duplodnaviria; Heunggongvirae; Uroviricota; Caudoviricetes
Also listed under: 1 other name
Description: tRNA-Gly
Source: RNAcentral